UACGUAGGUGGCAAGCGUUGUCCGGAAUUAUUGGGCGUAAAGCGCACGUAGGCGGUUCGUUAAGUCGGAUGUGAAAGCCCUCGGCUCAACUGAGGAAGUGCACCCGAAACUGGCGAGCUUGAGUACGAAAGAGGAUCGCGGAAUUCCCGGUGUAGAGGUGAAAUUCGUAGAUAUCGGGAGGAACACCGGUGGCGAAGGCGGCGAUCUGGGUCGAUACUGACGCUGAGGUGCGAAAGCGUGGGGAGCAAACAGG
This 253-nucleotide ribosomal RNA is filed under the name uncultured bacterium. RNAcentral describes it as "partial 16S ribosomal RNA". It matches the Rfam family "Bacterial small subunit ribosomal RNA", at positions 524 to 776 of the family's 1533-position model. The record is from RNAcentral.